UGCCAGCCGCCGCGGUAAAACGUAGGGGGCGAGCGUUAUCCGGAAUUACUGGGCGUAAAGCGCACGUAGGCGGAUUAGUAAGUUAGGGGUGAAAUCCCGGGGCUCAACCCUGGAACUGCCUCAUAAACUCCUGGUCUAGAGUUCGAGAGAGGUGAGUGGAAUUCCGAGUGUAGAGGUGAAAUUCGUAGAUAUUGGAAGGAAUACCGAUGGCGAAGGCAGCUUGCUGGCCUGCAACUGACGCUGAGGCGCGAAAGCGUGGGUAGCAAACAGGAUUAGAUA
This 279-nucleotide ribosomal RNA is filed under the name uncultured bacterium. RNAcentral's name for it is "partial 16S ribosomal RNA". It matches the Rfam family "Bacterial small subunit ribosomal RNA", at positions 506 to 784 of the family's 1533-position model. The record is from RNAcentral.